AUGAACUUUUUUUUACGAAAAAACCGGAGGAAAAAACCGACGAAAAAACCAAACCGGAACACGGGUUUUUUCCCUUUCCGAAAGAGGCACGCUCGUGCUCUGACGAAAUCACAAUCGUGCCUCUCGCGGAAGCAAAACCGUGCCUCUCGGAAAAAAAAACAGAAAACGCGUCUUUUUUCCCUUUCCGGAAGAGGCACGCCCGUGCCUCUUGCGAAAGCACAACCGUGCUUUUCGCGGAAGCAAAACCGUGCCUCUCGCGAAAGAAAAAAAACAGAAAACAUGUUUUUUUCGUUUCCGAGGAGGCAAGGCCGUGACUCGCGAAAGCACAACCGUGCCUCUCGCGGAAGCAAAACCGUGCCUCUCUCGAAAGGAAAAAAAAACAGAAAACACGUUUUUUUUCGUUUCCAAGAGGCACGGCCGUGCCUCUCGCGAAAAAAACCGUGA
Molecule: ribosomal RNA, 444 nt
Filed under: Triticum aestivum (bread wheat)
Lineage: Eukaryota; Viridiplantae; Streptophyta; Magnoliopsida; Poales; Poaceae
Description: partial small subunit ribosomal RNA
Source: RNAcentral